GACGAACGCUGGCGGCGUGCUUAACACAUGCAAGUCGAACGGAAAGGCCCUGCUUUUGUGGGGUGCUCGAGUGGCGAACGGGUGAGUAACACGUGAGUAACCUGCCCUUGACUUUGGGAUAACUUCAGGAAACUGGGGCUAAUACCGGAUAGGAGCUCCUGCUGCAUGGUGGGGGUUGGAAAGUUUCGGCGGUUGGGGAUGGACUCGCGGCUUAUCAGCUUGUUGGUGGGGUAGUGGCUUACCAAGGCUUUGACGGGUAGCCGGGCUGCGAGGGUGACCGGCCACAUUGGGACGGAGAUACGGCCCAGACUCCUACGGGAGGCAGCAGUGGGGAAUAUUGCACAAUGGGCGGAAGCCUGAUGCAGCAACGCCGCGUGCGGGAUGACGGCCUUCGGGUUGUAAACCGCUUUCGCCUGUGACGAAGCGUGAGUGACGGUAAUGGGUAAAGAAGCACCGGCUAACUACGUG
RNAcentral lists this ribosomal RNA (468 nucleotides) under uncultured bacterium. RNAcentral describes it as "partial 16S ribosomal RNA". It matches the Rfam family "Bacterial small subunit ribosomal RNA", at positions 28 to 507 of the family's 1533-position model. The record is from RNAcentral.